GCGCCCGUAGCUCAACUGGAUAGAGCGUUGGCCUCCGGAGCCAAAGGUUAUGGGUUCAACUCCCGUCGGGCGCA
RNAcentral lists this transfer RNA (74 nucleotides) under Spirochaetota bacterium. RNAcentral's name for it is "Spirochaetes bacterium (activated sludge metagenome) tRNA-Arg". It matches the Rfam family "tRNA". From Rfam's summary of the family: Transfer RNA (tRNA) molecules are approximately 80 nucleotides in length. Their secondary structure includes four short double-helical elements and three loops (D, anti-codon, and T loops). The record is from RNAcentral. Lineage: Bacteria; Pseudomonadati; Spirochaetota.